RNAcentral lists this ribosomal RNA (541 nucleotides) under uncultured bacterium. RNAcentral describes it as "bacterial SSU rRNA". It matches the Rfam family "Bacterial small subunit ribosomal RNA", at positions 772 to 1319 of the family's 1533-position model. The record is from RNAcentral.
ACGGAAUAGAUACCCAGGUAGUCCACGCCCUAAACGAUGUCUACUAGUUGUCGGGUCUUAAUUGACUUGGUAAACGCAGCUAAACGCGUGAAGUAGACCGCCUGGGGAGUACGGUCGCAAGAUUAAAACUCAAAGGAAUUGACGGGGACCCGCACAAGCGGUGGAUGAUGUGGAUUAAUUCGAUGCAACGCGAAAAACCUUACCUACCCUUGACAUGGAUGGAAUCCUUGAGAGAUUGAGGAGUGCCCGAAAGGGAACCAUUACACAGGUGCUGCAUGGCUGUCGUCAGCUCGUGUCGUGAGAUGUUGGGUUAAGUCCCGCAACGAGCGCAACCCUUGUCAUUAGUUGCUACGAAAGGGCACUCUAAUGAGACUGCCGGUGACAAACCGGAGGAAGGUGGGGAUGACGUCAAGUCCUCAUGGCCCUUAUGGGUAGGGCUUCACACGUCAUACAAUGGUACAUACAGAGGGCCGCAACCCGCGAGGGGAGCUAAUCCCAGAAAGUGUAUCGUAGUCCGGAUUGUAGUCUGCAACUCGACUGC